Molecule: ribosomal RNA, 1383 nt
Filed under: Pontibacillus sp. BH85057-1
Lineage: Bacteria; Bacillati; Bacillota; Bacilli; Caryophanales; Bacillaceae
Description: 16S ribosomal RNA
Rfam family: Bacterial small subunit ribosomal RNA
Source: RNAcentral
UCGAGCGGCGGACGGGUGAGUAACACGUGGGCAACCUACCUGUAAGAUCGGGAUAACCCCGGGAAACCGGAGCUAAUACCGGAUAAUAUUUCGAACCGCAUGGUUCGGAAUUGAAAGACGGCUUUUGCUGUCACUUACAGAUGGGCCCGCGGCGCAUUAGCUAGUUGGUAAGGUAACGGCUUACCAAGGCAACGAUGCGUAGCCGACCUGAGAGGGUGAUCGGCCACACUGGGACUGAGACACGGCCCAGACUCCUACGGGAGGCAGCAGUAGGGAAUCUUCCGCAAUGGACGAAAGUCUGACGGAGCAACGCCGCGUGAACGAUGAAGGUCUUCGGAUCGUAAAGUUCUGUUGUUAGGGAAGAACAAGUACCAGAGUAACUGCUGGUACCUUGACGGUACCUAACGAGGAAGCCACGGCUAACUACGUGCCAGCAGCCGCGGUAAUACGUAGGUGGCAAGCGUUGUCCGGAAUUAUUGGGCGUAAAGCGCGCGCAGGCGGUUCCUUAAGUCUGAUGUGAAAGCCCACGGCUCAACCGUGGAGGGUCAUUGGAAACUGGGGAGCUUGAGUACAGAAGAGGAGAGUGGAAUUCCACGUGUAGCCGGUGAAAUGCGUAGAUAUGUGGAGGAACACCAGUGGCGAAGGCGACUCUYUGGUCUGUAACUGACGCUGAGGCGCGAAAGCGUGGGUAGCAAACAGGAUUAGAUACCCUGGUAGUYCACGCCGUAAACGAUGAGUGCUAGGUGUUAGGGGGUUUYCGCCCCUUAGUGSUGAAGKUAACGCAWUWAGCACUCCGCCUGGGGAGUACGGCCGCAARGSUGAAACUCAAARGAAUUGACGGGGGCCCGCACMAGCGGUGGAGCAUGUGGUUUAAUUYGAAGCAACGCGAAGAACCUUACCAGGUYUUGACAUUYUUCGCUACCUYUAGAGAUAGAGGGUUCCCUUUSGGGACGGAAUGACCGGUGGUGCAUGGUUGUUGUCAGCUUGUGUUGUGAGAUGUUGGGUUAAGUUCCGCAACGAGCGCAACCCCUUAUUUUAGUUGCCAGCCUUCAGUUGGGCCCUUUAAGGUGACUGCCGGUGACAAACCGGAGGAAGGCGGGGAAGACGUCAAAUCAUCAUGCCCCUUAUGACCUGGGGUACACACGUGGUACAAUGGAUGGUACAAAGGGCAGCCAGACCGCGAGGUUUCGCGAAUUCCAAAAAACCCUUUUCAGUUUGGAUUGCAGGGUGCAACUUGCCUGCAUGAAGCCGGAAUCGGUUGUAAUUGCAGGUCAGCAUAAUGCGGGGAAUACGUUCCCGGGCCUUGUACCCCCCCCCCGUCACCCCCCGAGAGUUGGCAACCCCCGAAGUCGGUGAGGUAACCUUUUGGAGCCAGCCGCCGAA